UCAGAAAAACGAACUAAACAGUCUUGUCAGACGUUAUACUGUGCUCGUAGCACGCACUCUUAUAUAGAACGCGGCGCCGCGCUGUAUAUCAAUUCACUAAAGCGCAGAAACUACGAACAUGCAACGCGUGAAAUAUAACUGGUACUGCCUGUGUUAGCUGAGAAGGAUUUGCAUGAAGAUGGUAAGUAGGUCGCGGCUUGAUGACCAUGGGAAAACGUGGGUCCCAAGGCCAAACCAGUUGAGAACCACUGACGUAGAGAGCCCCACAGUUCAGCAACCAUCCGCGGAUGAUGUUCAUCUCUAAAUGAGUUGUGCCCAAGCUGACCAGAACCUCCGGAUCCGAAUGUGAACACUGUGCCGCCCUAAUGAUACAACCAUGACAUCAACAUCUAUUACAGAUAUUAUGCUGGCUUACAAUACAAUGCUUUUACAUGAAGAAAUAAUCAGACCUGUAGUGUCUCCGAGGCCCAGCUGUCCAGCCGAGUUCCUUCCCCAUCCAAACACGACUCCAGAGAGAGACAACACAAAGCUGUGGUCUCCUCCAGCG
This is a long non-coding RNA of Onychostoma macrolepis, 547 nucleotides long. RefSeq lists it as uncharacterized. Lineage: Eukaryota; Metazoa; Chordata; Actinopteri; Cypriniformes; Cyprinidae. The transcript is spliced from 4 exons. The record is from RefSeq and is a predicted model, not a curated record.